Long non-coding RNA from Juglans regia (Persian walnut), 147 nucleotides. RefSeq lists it as uncharacterized. The transcript has 4 exons. The record is from RefSeq and is a predicted model, not a curated record. Lineage: Eukaryota; Viridiplantae; Streptophyta; Magnoliopsida; Fagales; Juglandaceae.
AGGGAAGAUCUGCACCUUGGAGGCAUACCAUUGAAGGCCCGGAUGACAUGCCAGCACGUAUCAAAUCGUCAAUGUUUGGCUGCACCCUGACGGUUCCAAUCACAAAUGGACAGCUUAACAUGGUAACCUGGCAGGGGAUAUGGCUAA